This 465-nucleotide ribosomal RNA is filed under the name uncultured bacterium. RNAcentral describes it as "partial 16S ribosomal RNA". It matches the Rfam family "Bacterial small subunit ribosomal RNA", at positions 28 to 507 of the family's 1533-position model. The record is from RNAcentral.
AGCGAACGCUGGCGGCAUGCCUAACACAUGCAAGUCGAACGGGUCGGCUUCGGCCGGUCAGUGGCGGACGGGUGAGGAACGCGUAGGGAUCUGUCCUUAGGCGGGGGAUAACCGCGGGAAACUGCGGCUAAGACCGCAUGGGGCGCCGGUGUGAGCGCCGGCGUCAAAGGGGCGCAUGGAGAGGUGUGGGUGGCCGGGGGGGGAGCCCGCGUCCGAUUCGCUGGUUGGCGGGGUAGUGGCCCGACUAGGCGUGGGGCGGUACCUGGUCUGAGGGGGUGAUCCGCCACACUGGGACUGCGGCACAGCCCAGACUCCUACGGGGAGCAGCAGUGGGGUAUAUUGGGCAAUGGACGCAAGCCUGAUCCAGCAGUGCCGCGUGUGUGAAGAAGGUGUUCGGAUUGUGAAGCCCUUUCGGCGGGGGCGAUAGUGACGGUACCCGCAGAAGAAGCCCCGGCUAACUUCGUG